GUGAACGAUUAAGGGCGCGCGGUGGAUGCCUAGGCUCUCGGAGGCGAUGAAGGACGUGAUAAGCCGCGAUAGGCCACGGCGAGGUGCAAGUAACCCUUGACCCGUGGAUUUCCGAAUGGGGCAACCCGGCCGUCUGGAUGACGGUCAUGCGUUACACGCAAGCGAACGCGGGGAACUGAAACAUCUCAUUACCCGCAGGAGAAGAAAACAACAGUGAUUCCCCCAGUAGUGGCGAGCGAACGGGGAAGAGCCCAAACCGGUACCGUUUCGGCGAUACCGGGGUCAUGGGACCACGACAUUCGACGGUGAACGAAGUGCAAUUACCUGGAAAGGUAAGCCGCGGAGGGUGAUAGCCCCGUGCACGACAGUGACAUCGAAGAUAGUGGUAUCCCGAGUAGGGCGGGACACGAGGAAUCCUGCCUGAAUUCGCCAGGACCCCCUGGCAAGGCUAAAUACUCCCGAGAGACCGAUAGUGAACCAGUACCGCGAGGGAAAGGUGAAAAGUACCCCGAGCAGGGGGGUGAAAUAGACCCUGAACCCGCGCGCCUACAAGCGGUCGGAGCUGCCUUGUGCAGUGACGGCGUGCCUUUUGCAUAAUGAGCCUACGAGUUAGUCGUCACCAGCGAGGUUAAGGGCUUCAGGCCCGUUAGCCGAAGUGAAAGCGAGCCUUAACAGGGCGUCGAGUUGGUGGCGCUAGACGCGAAACCUUGUGAUCUACCCUCGUGCAGGUUGAAGUCCCGGUAACACGGGAUGGAGGACCGAACCGGUAAACGUUGAAAAGUUUUCGGAUGACGCGAGGGUAGGGGUGAAAGGCCAAUCAAACUGGGAAAUAGCUCGUACUCUCCGAAAUGCAUUUCGGUGCAGCCUGUGGUGUUCUGUUCUAGAGGUAGAGCUACUGAUUGGACGCGAGGGCUUCACCGCCUAUCAAAUCCGGAUAAACUCCGAAUGCUAGAACAUCAAACCAUGGAGUGAGCCCGCGGGUGCUAAGGUCCGCGGACGAGAGGGGAAGAACCCAGACCACCGGCUAAGGUCCCGGAUGGACGGUUAAGUUGAUAAAACGAGGUGGGAUCGCGGAGACAGCUAGGAUGUUGGCUUGGAAGCAGCCAUUCAUUUAAAGAGUGCGUAACAGCUCACUAGUCGAGCGAUCCCGCGUGGAUAAUACACGGGCAUCAAACCGUCAACCGAAGCCGUGGGGUCAGUUAAAAACUGACCGGUAGGAGAGCAUUCCUGCCCGCGUCGAAGGUCACCCGCGAGAGUGACUGGAGCGGCAUGAAAAGCAAAUGUAGGCAUAAGUAACGAUAAUGGGGGCGAGAACCCCCCACGCCGUAAGACCAAGGAUUCCCCGGCAAUGUCAAUCAGCCGGGGGUCAGCCGGCCUCUAAGGCUAACCCGAAGGGGGAUGCCGACGAGAAACGGGUUAAUAUUCCCGUGCUUCUCGUCACCGUAACGCGGUGACGGGGUGAUGAAGGGAUCGCGCGCUGACGGAAUAGCGCGUUGAAGGCCGUACCCGAUGAGGGUGGUAGUCAAGCACGCCACCCGAGGCGAAAGCCGAUAGUACCGCGAGACUUCGGUCGAGUGGAUAGCAUCCCGGCAAUUUACCCCCUAGAAAACCCGCUAAACUUCAAGUGACGAGGACCCGUACUGUAAACGGACACACGUGGUCGGGUAGAAUAUACCAAGGCGCUCGAGUGAUUCAUGGUCAAGGAACUAGGCAAAAUAGUCCUGUAACUUCGGGAAAAAGGACGCUCUAGUGAUAGAGCCGCAGAGUAAUGGCCCAGGCGACUGUUUACCAAAAACACAUGGCUAUGCCAAAUCGAAAGAUGACGUAUAUGGCCUGACACCUGCCCGGUGCCGGAAGGUUAAGAGGAGAGCUCAUCGGCAACGAGAAGGUUUGAAUUGAAGCCCCGGUAAACGGCGGCCGUAACUAUAACGGUCCUAAGGUAGCGAAAUUCCUUGUCGGGUAAGUUCCGACCUGCACGAAUGGUGUAACGAUCUGGGCACUGUCUCGACCAUGAGCUCGGUGAAAUUGUAGUUCCGGUGAAGAUGCCGGGUACCCGCGACGGGACGGAAAGACCCCGUGAACCUUUACUGCAGCUUCGCGUUGUUCCCGGGCACGGGACGUGUAGGAUAGGUCGGAGGCAAUGAAGCGGUUUCGCCAGGAAUCGUGGAGCCAUCGUUGAAAUACGACCCUUCUCUUGUCUGGGAUCUAACUCGUUUAUCGAGGACACCGCGUGGUGGGUAGUUUGACUGGGGUGGUCGCCUCCAAAAGCGUAACGGAGGCUUCCAAAGGUACCCUCGGGUUGAUUGGUAAUCAACCGUAGAGUGCAAUGGCACAAGGGUGCUUGACCGGGAGACCAACAAGUCGAUCGGGUGCGAAAGCAGGGCAUAGUGAUCCGGUGAUCCCGCGUGGAAGGGUCAUCGCUCAAAGGAAAAGCCAGCAAAAUUAUCGUUGAACAUUAUGAAGAAUCACCAUUUGUAUUCAGUCUCUAUUUUUCGCUUAUGGCAAAUCCGCAUAAUGUGUCCCCUAAUAAGGUGAUUGAAAAGUAUAAAAAGAACAUUUCGCUUCUGGAGGAAAUCUAUCUAAAGUAUUUAGAAUGUACCCAAAAUUACGAUUAUGAUGGAAGCUUUUUUGAGGCACUUAUUUCUAAGGAUAAGAAUUUUUUAUACCGAUAUCUAGACGAAUUACUUGCAAAAAAGAGACGCUUAUAUGGGCAACAUGAUGAAUGGGUUAGACGUCUAUUGCGCAUCUGGGCAGAAGACACAUAUCUACUGAGCAUGGAUUUGGUUUC
RNAcentral lists this ribosomal RNA (2788 nucleotides) under human gut metagenome. RNAcentral describes it as "bacterial LSU rRNA". It matches the Rfam family "Bacterial large subunit ribosomal RNA". The record is from RNAcentral.